Stegostoma tigrinum is the source of this 950-nucleotide long non-coding RNA. RefSeq lists it as uncharacterized. The record is from RefSeq and is a predicted model, not a curated record. NCBI's taxonomy places the organism in Eukaryota, Metazoa, Chordata, Chondrichthyes, Orectolobiformes, Stegostomatidae. The transcript has 3 exons.
AAGGUAAUGGUUCCGAAAGUGUUAAUGUUGCAUGACCUUCCCUCAGCUGGAUGAUGUCACACUGUCUGUGAAGAGUGUUUGAUGGGGUCGGGAUGAAGAUGGAUGAGAUUCACAAAAUGGCUCACAAUAGCUGUAACAAUGCAGCUAUUUAACAUUAAUGUUACAGGGAGCUGUCACACCUCACUAUCUCUUCAACACUCGCCCUCAGCUCCACGUUUGACACCAUGUUACACACUCAAUCCAGUCACUUGCUUGUGUUCUGGACCAUUUUGGAAAAUGGUCGCAAGAAGGAUGCCCCAGACAGUGUCCAUGGCAGAGUUCACAUCGGUAUGAAAAGCCAGACGUAUAAUGCUCUUCAACACUCGCCCUCAGCUCCACGUCUGACACCAUGUUACACACUCAAUCCAGUCACUUGCUUGUGUUCUGGACCAUUUUGGAAAAUGGUCGCAAGAAGGAUGCCCCAGACAGUGUCCAUGGCAGAGUUCACAUGGGUAUGAAAAGCCAGGUGUAUGUGAAUACAGUCGUCUUUUUCUGUCCCAAACAGUAGGAAGAAAGGUUUCGCAGUGGACACAGAUCAAUGAAGGUAUAAAAUAAUGGAGGAGCCUCAUUCAUAGAUCUGUAGAAUCCCUACAGUGUGUAAACAGGCCCAUUGGCCCAACAAGCCCGCAACAACCCUAACAUUUCAGUGGGAAUUGGAUGAGUACCUUUUGGUGUAAAAUGCACUUGGCGAUAGAGCAAUGCAGUGGUGUCUGCCUGUGGAACACUCCCCCUGAGGCAGCACGGCCACACAGCCCCCAGCCCUGAAGAAUGGACACCAGACUCAGAACAUGAACUCUGCUUUCUCUCCACAGAUGCUGCCAGACUUAUUGACUUUCCCCAGCUGCUUCUGUUUACAAUUUCAAUCUUCAGACCAGUUUCGAAUCAUCUCCUUCCAUGGUGUCCAUUUUAAA